RNAcentral lists this ribosomal RNA (378 nucleotides) under uncultured eukaryote. RNAcentral describes it as "partial 18S ribosomal RNA". It matches the Rfam family "Eukaryotic small subunit ribosomal RNA", at positions 592 to 975 of the family's 1831-position model. The record is from RNAcentral.
CAAUAGCGUAUAUUAAAGUUGUUGCAGUUAAAAAGCUCGUAGUUGGAUUUCUGCUGAAGCAGACCGCUCUGUCCUUGUGACAAGUUGCGUGUUCCGCUUUGGCAUAUUCGACUGAUCUUUCAUGCACUUUACUGUGUGUGGGGGUUCUUUCGACCAUUACUUUGAGAAAAUUAGAGUGUUCAAAGCAGGCUUUCGCCUUGAAUACAUUAGCAUGGAAUAAUAAGAUAGGGCUUCGGUUCUAUUUUGUUGGUUUCUAGAACUAAAGCAAUGAUUAAUAGGAACAGUCGGGGGCAUUUCUACUGAAUCGUCAGAGGUGAAAUUCUUGGAUUGAUUCAAGAGAAACUACUGCGAAAGCAUUUGCCAAGGAUGUUUUCAUUA